This 182-nucleotide unclassified non-coding RNA is filed under the name uncultured Ascomycota. RNAcentral's name for it is "sequence contains ITS2". Lineage: Eukaryota; Fungi; Ascomycota. The record is from RNAcentral.
CAACCCUUAAGCCUAGCUUAGUGUUGGGAGUCUACGAGUGGGCCAUGCUACCCUGUAGCGUGGUUACCCUGUAGUUCCUGAAAAUCAACGGCGGAUUUACAGUAUCCUCUGAGCGUAGUAAUUUUUUAUCUCGCUUCUGUUUAGGUGCUGUGAAUUCUGCCGCUAAACCCCCAAUUUUUAAU